This 7164-nucleotide long non-coding RNA is filed under the name Sorghum bicolor (sorghum). Its description in RNAcentral is "long non-coding RNA (SBIC_LNC008211)". Lineage: Eukaryota; Viridiplantae; Streptophyta; Magnoliopsida; Poales; Poaceae. The record is from RNAcentral.
CGUGGCACUAGAGUGUACUAUGGUAUUUAUACGCACACAGAUAAUCCGCAAGCGCACGGAUAACGUUGAAGCUUUUACCCGGUUAAAGGUUUUAUCGUAUCCACAGGGAAACGGGAGAACUGAUCUACGCUCUAACUUAACCAAGAUAAGUAAAUAGGUGUGAAUAGGAAAGAUGGUAGAAUCGAAUAAGAACAAUAUUAAAGGUAAGAUAACAGUGAGUGAUAAUAUGGGAAUAGAGAAUAGAGCAAUUCUAGUAUAUGGGCGAUGGUAGCAGAAUAGAGAGGAUAACUAUGGUUUCUCUACUUCAAAGGGGUAUGUCUAUGUCUGGAACGAACCACGUGAUAAGAGUACACCACAAAGGAUGCUUAUCCUUAGGCCGAUAAACCCUACCCGUCCUGCCAACGAGAGGUGGACUACAAGGGACCAACGUAACUGUCACCUACGCGGCCUACCACACGAUCCAGCUAGUCAGGGGAUAUCCACAAGUAAUCUAGAUCUAAGCACCACGAUUACACCUAUACUACAACUCUAACCUAUAGGGUCCUAUAGAUUAGAAGUACUCAAAAGAGUUGUGAACCAGAACAUACAUGAUUAGUAAUUGCAUAAUGAAUUAGAAGUAGAUUACCAGAGUCAUCCCAUGAGCAAGCUUGAUUAGAGCUUGAUCAUGGCGAAGUACAACCGGAGGAAGAACCGACAGGCCGGCCUCUCCUCUAAUCCUCCUUCGCUCUCCAUCUCGCUACUAUCUAGAUCUACUCUAGUUUAGAGAAGAGAGGAGAGCUCUCAUCUCUAAACCCUAGCUUUUGCUCUGUCUAUGAAUAAUGAUCAAGGGGUGUCUCCUCCAGGGGCCAGGGGGUCUGGUUUUAUAGUCCCCUCAAGUGAACCUGGGCCGUCGGAUCAAACCGACAUUGGUUGAACGGUUAUUCUUGAUCCUUUAGGUCGGUGGAGCAUAAUCCGCGAGAUUGAGCGUGAUUGGCUAUAGGAGGUGGGCGGGCGCCUAGUAGGACAGGGCGGGCGCCCUGUCUCUAGCCCCGUUUCGCCUCCGCUUCGGUCUCGUGGCUUCUGGAGUCUUCUAGAUGUAAGAUAAUUGCGCAGCACGUUAAUAUCUUUACGUAAUCCCGACAUGUGGGCCUUUCUUCCAUAUUUCCUGAUAACCCCCUGCAGAAAUAGACAAACACCAAAACUCGUGGAAUUCUGUCAGAUAAAACCCUAAGUCUAGAUCUUGAUUUCAUUUGGAUCCUUUUCUUUAUUUAUUUGAUAAUUAAAUUUGAUACUUAAGGACCGUCAACAAACUCCCCCAAGCUUACCUCUUGCUCGUCCCUGAGUAAGGAUAGACUCAGCUAUGGAUCAUAAGUUGUUGCAAUAUCUUUAAAAAUUGACGGUACACAUGCUUUUAAAUGAGGUCUCAUCUCUGAGUUAGAGUAAACUGUCAAGACUUUAAAACUUACUUACUUUACCUUUCACCAUGGGACUUGUAACCGUCACUUCUGUCUUGAGUGGUUAAAAGAUAGAACAGUCCCGUCAAGUGCCAUGUCUCUUAUUCUUGAUCAGCUAUAGCUCUGGAGUUUUUUGCAGAUUUUUAAAUAAAACUCAGAGAUUCCUUUGUAUGACUCUCUCAUAUCUCUCUUUUGUGGUAUUUCUGGAUCCUUACCAAGGCAGUGAUGGUAUAUGCCUUCUCUCAAAAUAUGUGGUAUUUGUGGUAUAAGGCAUAGUGACAUUGCCUUCUCUCUCAUCCUACUCUAAUAAGGCUUUAAUAUCUGGAGCUUAUAGGUGGGAGAUAAAGUAUACAUACUUACAAGACAUUUAUUGUAUAGUCAAACCAUGGAUCCAAAGAAACAAAUCAAUAAGCCAAAUCAAGAUGUGCAUGUGUGGCGAAUGAAUGGUGUAUAGUGAUGAUAGUGAUAACAAUGGUGAAAGUCUAAUUCUACUUUUGCUCUUUUGAGGGGAUACAUACCUUCCUUGCUUUUUGAAACUUUAUGAGGAGAAUGAGAUGCUCUUCUUUUUUCUUUCCUCUCAGGUGGGUAUCUUGUACCCCUAAUUCUACUGUCGGACACUAGUCCAUUUUUACCUCUCGUCUCACUUUUUCUUUCUUUCGAGGUUCCGGGCACUUGCCCCUUUUUAUUUCCUCGUUUAUUAUUUUUUUUUUCUUUUCUUCUCUUUUCUCUUUUUUUUUCUUUUUUUUCAGAGCACUCAUCUCCUGAAAUAAUGUAGCAAGUGGUAGUAACCAAAAUAACUGGAGCAUUUAUUUUACAGGGAAUAACAGGGAUAAGAAAAUGUUUUUGGCUAUUCUCUCCCGGAUUAGGAGUAGAAUGAUUUUGGGUGAAACUGGAGAUGGAAAUGGAUGGAUAUAUGUGGAUGGUACUUCCGGAGUAGAAGUAGCAUAUAUGAGUGAACGUGCAAGUGAAUCUUGAUUUAACCACAGGACAAGCUCCUAAGGGUCUACACAGCUUGACCACACUCAAUGCUCAUAAGCAGUAAAUAAUAAAUGUGUGGCUCAAAGUCUAGCAAGCAUGAAUAUAUGGCUGUGGUAGGAAUUUAAACUCUCAUCAUACAGGAACUCAUCAUGCAACAUUUUAAAGAUUUUCAAAGAUAAAAUUCUCCAGAAUUCUAGCAUCUCUAGGAACAGAUAAACAACAGCUCAACCUUCCCAUAUCUUAUCCGUUAACAACUUAGAUUUCAGAUCAAGUUUUCAUCCCACAAGUUUAGAUCUAGAGUAAGCUUUAAAUUAUAACAGUUAUGUCUAAACUUGAGAGAGAACUUUAAAUUUGCAAAUUAGGCAGAGCAACUCUUCAUCAUAUCCAUGCUAGAGUUUUAUUAUUAAGAUUCAUAGCAAACUUUAUUUAUUUAUUUAGCAAACUAAGAAAAGUAUAUAUAUAUAAGCAUAAAAUCUUUAUUUGGUUUUUCAUAGUUUAUGUAUUUUAAUAUUCUAAUAUAAUAUAAGUAUAAAGAUAGGUAGAAAUACUUAGCGAGAUAAAUAGGGGUGCUCUCCCCCAAGCUGAAUUUUGACGUAAUUUCUCUUGAUGUAGCUAGCAGGUGGCAGAGGUGUAUUUGAAAGUCAGCAGCAUUCUGACAGCGAUUAGAAUGUCCUCCGUCUGCUAGUCUUCUUGAUUCUUAAAUUCUGUGGAGCUCAAAUAGACAACAAAGCUUGUGGAACUAAUUAAGUGUUAGCAUAAAUAUCUAGCCUUCAUCACGUUGAGCUUCCUCAAUAAAUAUUACUCCCUGUUUUUAUAUUUUUAUUUUAUAAAGUAGAAAAGAAAUAUUUAUUUUAUUUUUAUGCCACCACGUACUUAUGGGUUUUAUGCCACUCGUAUACUCACAUGGGGCUUAGUAUUUUUUAAUAUUUUUAUUUUCUUUUCAAGAUAGUAUGAUUAACUAAUAAUCUAUUUAAGGAAAGUAAAUAAUUAAAUGAAAAAGGGAAUGCAGAAAGGAUAAAUAUGGAUAACUACAAUCUUACCUUUCGGCGAGGGUUCAAUGUUUUAAGUCUUCUUGUCAAGACUUCUCAUCGUGUUCAUUCUUCAGGUGCGUUAUUUGAUUCAGGUGCGGACCUUGACGUCUGCACCUUUUAAUACGGUGUCACCCAUGUUCUUCGUUUGCCCAGCAGUUCGAAGUGCGGUGUUAGCAGUAUCUUGCUCAGUGUGUUUGUGCUCGUAGUGUACCUACUCAUAGAGACAAGGCAGAGAUCAAGUGCAUGGGCCCUGUUGGUGGAAAACACCAACAGAACCAAAAGUGUAUUUGUUCUUCUCUAACCUUAAGCAUACUGAGCAAGACAAGUUGAUGGAUGAUAAGUUCAUGAGUGUAGCACUUAUAACAUUUGUCAGAUCAGAUCGCUCAACCUUAUGCAAAGAUAAUCUAUCUAUGUAUAUGUCUUUUUCUUUAUAUCUCUCAAUGAUUGAAUGUGUAACAUUUUAGCUCAUAUGAUUAGGAGUGUGGGAUCAUAGAGGUAGUACUAAGAACAAGGAUUAAAGGACUAAACAUGUUGAAUCAAUUGGGUUGGUUAAUCUAGAGUUGUAAAUCAUGCACGUUUGUCUCUUUUAUUUAUAUGAACGCCAGAACCAAGGAGAAGCUUAUAAAAGAGAUAGUCAAGUACCUUAAGAUGUUAUCUUGCUCGAAGAGUGAUGGUACAGUAUCAUCUUGUGGAAGCUUUCCUUUCUUAGCGGUUGUGCGUCGUUUUUGUGGCACCCUCCAUGGAUCAUCUCUCUAUGAUGAAUGAGCUAUGUCCUUCUUGUGCAAAUUGUUAAACUUCAUGUGUCACUCUCUUCGUCUCUGAUGUGAGUUUAUCUCGGGACUUCCCAAAUCGAUAUUGAAAGUUUUUCUGCAGGGGUUAGUCCGACAAAAUAUACCAAUAUCUACUCAAGCAGUUUUUUUUAGUUCAAUAACCAAACUAGACUCCAUGUCUAAUCAGAUUAAGGAAGGCUAUUUAAUCUAAGCACCAUGCUUAAUUUAAAUGCCAAUGGAAGUAUGGCGAGUACUUCCAAACCAACACUUGCUAGUAAAUAGACAAAGGUAGCAUGACAGCAUUUAUAGAGAUCUACUCAAGUGGAGAUGAAGUAGUGUGAUUAGUAUUUAACAAAUUGAGCAUGUCUCAAAGGUAGGGACAACCAGCAUAGCAACAUGGCAAAGGAUGUUUUUAUGUAAAGUACUCCCCCAAGCUUGAAUUUUGCAAAAUUCAAGUUUGGAUGAAUUUAAUUCAAUGUUGUAUGAUGAUUGGUUGGACAUACCUUGUGCUUGUCAUUCAUCCGAUCUUCUUGCUCCAAUCCUAGAAAGGUUAGUGACAAGAAUACCCGAAGGAAUUUUUUUUUUACAAUUAUCCUUAUAUGCUCAAUACACAAGGUAAUGUUGCAAAUAAUUAAAGGCUCAUGUUACGAUCUGAUCAAUGCUUAUUUUAAGACACUAAGCUUGUCCUUGGGAAACCAUCAGUUUAUGUUGGCGAAGUGGUUUCCCCUCCGACGCCAACCUAUAUCUAGAUCAACUCAAUGAGAUCUGCAAUAUUUAUUAUAGACAUAUGCAUCGACAACCGCCCUUUUAAAGUUUUUAUAAAUAGAAAGGAAGAGGGGGUUGGAGAUCUCAAGUGCGGUGAUGUCAGAGAGACCAAUAGAUUGGGAAGAUGUUGCAUAUGAGCAUGGAGUAAACGAAGUGGCUAUGAAAUAAAUUCCAUGCUCAUUAAUGUUAUCUUCGUCUCUAAUCUGAAUGUUUGGAGUUUCUCCUGGAUUGGUCUCACUUAUGUCCUCUUCUGUAGUUGGAUGAAUCUCAUCUUCAAAGGGAGUCAAGAACUCACCAUUUGAAAUUGAGCCAAAGUCAGAACCCAUUAAGGCUUCUUCCUUAUCCAUCCAUUCUACACAUUCUAGCCAUUUAGAACUUGUAAUCAGGAAAGGGGUGGUGUUAGAAUUUUCAAUAUGGCUUAGCUCUCCUUCACUUGAUAUGUCAUCCUCGACUUCUUCAAAACAGGAAUGAGGACAUUCUCUAAGAGAAACAUUAUUGCAAUGAUUUGAAUUAUCCCUGCUUGAAGGUCUCUUAUAGAACCAGAAGUCUAAACCAUCAGCAUCUAAAAGAUUUAAGGUCGGAAUUCCUUCCUCCCUUGGAGAAUUUUGGGGUAUUGAUGGUUUAGGAUCGAUAGCUAAAGUUUUGGAUUGAAGUGGUUGUAAUCUGGCUAUCGAAACUUCUUCUUCUUGUCUAGGAACUAGUUCUUUCUCUUUCUCAGGGAUAUAAAAGCUAGGAGACUUUCCGCUCAUUAAAUCAAUCAAAUUCCAAGCUUCACUAGCGGAUAGGUGGUGGAAAGAUCCUCCAGAGGCCGCAUGAAGGGUUUGCUUAUCUUCCUUACUAAGGCCCUCAAAAAAUUGAAUUAGAAGAACUUCUUCUGGAAUAGAAAGUUUUGGGCCAGUGAGAGUAAGGUUAAUAAAGCGGUCCCAUGAUUUGCCAAGAGAUUCUUCUUCUAGUUGUCUAAAAGAAAGAAUCUCACGCCGAAGUUCCACCACUUUGGAGAUUGGAAAAUAUUUAGAAAGAAAACUACUAUAUAACUCCUUCCAAUCUCCAUGAACACUCCCUACUUUGAGUUUGUACCAAUGUCUAGCUUUUCCCGUUAAAGAGAACGGAAAGAGCUUCCAUUUAAGGGUCUCAUCGGACAUGCCUUCUAUGCGAAGGAGGUCACAGACUCGAUAAAACUCUCUUAGGUGUGUGUAUGGGUUUUCCUCACCUUCUCCUGAGAAAGGUUGUUUUUGAAUAAAUUCUAUGUAUUCGGGGUCUAUCUCAAAACUAGAUGCUAUGAUAGGCUUUGAAGAUUUUGGUGGUUCGAGAUGUGUGCCCAUAGGUCUAUGAAAUUCAUAGAUAGACAUGUUUGAAUUCAUAAUAGACCAGAGAUCAAGGAUUAGAUAAGAAGAAAGAAUAGCAGAGAUGAGGCAAAGGAUAAAAGGAAAAUAUAUUUUUUUAUUUAUUUUUUUAUAAAAUGAUUAAACUAGUUCGUAGUCAACUCAGCAACCGUUUCCCCGGCAACGGCGCCAAAAAUGCUUGUUGACACUUGCUAACACCACUUGAAUACUAGGUUGUCAUCCCCAGCGUGGCACUAGAGUGUACUAUGGUAUUUAUACGCACACAGAUAAUCCGCAAGCGCACGGAUACCGUUGAAGCUUUUACCCGGUUAAAGGUUUUAUCGUAUCCACAGGGAAACGGGAGAACUGAUCUAUGCUCUAACUUAACCAAGAUAAGUAAAUAGGUGUGAAUAGGAAAGAUGGUAGAAUCGAAUAAGAACAAUAUUAAAGGUAAGAUAACAGUGAGUGAUAAUAUGGGAAUAGAGAAUAGAGCAAUUCUAGUAUAUGGGCGAUGGUAGCAGAAUAGAGAGGAUAACUAUGUUUUCUCUACUUCAAAGGGGUAUGUCUAUGUCUGGGACGAACCACGUGAUAAGAGUACACCACAAAGGAUGCUUAUCCUUAGGCCAAUAAACCCUACCCGUCCUGCCAACGAGAGGUGGACUACAGGGGACCAACGUAACUGUCACCUACGCGGCCUACCACACGAUCCAGCUAGUCAGGGGAUAUCCACAAGUAAUCUAGAUCUAAGCACCACGCUUACACCUAUACUACAACUCUAACCUAUAGGGUCCUAUAGAUUAGAAGUACUCAAAAGAGUUGUGAACCAGAACAUACAUGAUUAGUAAUUGCAUAAUGAAUUAGAAGU